CCCUCAAGCUCGCGCCCCUCUCCUUCGUCCCCUCCCCGCCGUGCUCCUGUCCUCCCCGCCUCGCCGUUCUUCUCCUGCCGCCCAGCCGGCCGCCGCCGCUCUCCCCGCCGAGCUCGGUCGCCGCCGCCGCCUCGUCCUUUCCUCCUCUCCUAUGCUCGGCAGGAGCGCGGGCCGCCGCCCCACCAUACGAUACGAUGUGGGAGUGCAACCCCGACGCCUCCUCCGCUCAGCCGUGUGACUCGAGACGACAAGAUCUAGCCGUGGCGGCCGAGAUUCAGCUCGUUGGCACGCUCCUCUGCCCUUCCCGAGGGCCAACGAAGAAGUUGGCGCGCUUGGCCAUCCCUCCCGGCGUGGUGGUGGACGAAGCAGAGGCACGUCUCCAGCAAGGUCAUCAUGUCUCCUUCCGGAUCCUUGCUGGCUGGCGGCGAGGUGCCUACCGGGAUGCAACACGCUCCAUCCUACGGCACCAACUACGCCACCGCCUUGCUCCUCCUAAGAGUGAGGUGGAAUUUGUGGUUUCUUAAUUGCUUAAUUUCUACCUCGGCAUGACAUGGAUUGCUUGCAUAUACAUGAGUAUGAAGCAAGAACUAUGCUCUGAGAAAGUGUAGCUGCAAGUGUUUAGGAAUUUCAGCUAAGGCAUAAAAGGCAGGAAGUAUCGAGGAAAGAACUGUGUGUGCUCCAACUGUAUAAGAUGUGUGAGCUGGAUGCAUUGUCAGGUCAAUCCAAAUGAUGAGACUGUCUCGAGUGAUUCCUCCCCUUCGAAGAUGACUCGGUGGUCUUCUUCCUCGCUUGCUUCUUGGGCGCCCGAUCUAUUCUGGACGAGCACCUGCGAGUGGUGGAUGAGGAGAUCUGGCAUGAACCACACACCGGGAGGAGCUCAACUUCUGCUGCCUCUGCACGCCCCAGAACAAUCAGCACAUGUUUUAACAAGGCCAACAGAAAUAUGAUGUAGUCAUGCAUAGGUUGAUGAUUCUGCCUAAAAUAUUCAGAUUUUGAAUCCUAUUACCAUUUUUCUUCAUUUCUUCUUUUGGGUCGGCGGGUAAGCUAAUUAGGCUAUUUUCCCUUUUAUCUAUUUCUGCAACUGGAUUCUUGAAAGGAUUUGAACAGAGUUCAUUGUGGGAACCUGAACCCUACUACCAUGUCUCCACUUUCAUGCAGUGGGCUUGACUGGAUCAUAUGGUUUUCUCGCCGAAGAUUCCCUACGCCACAAGCUACUACUCUGCUCCUCUCCCACCAUGGCACAACAAGGCACUUCUUCCUCUCCUGUGAAAGUAACUGAAGGCCAUCCCACCUGACAUCCAUGGGGCUAAUUUCCAUUUUGGAAUUAAGUGAUGACUCCUGCAGCAGUCGGUGUCCUGUACAGCGUGUUCUGGAACACGGGGUUGAGUGGCUACGAGGGGGAGGAGCCAUGUGACAACUUCGACAUUGCGUCAGAGGAAGGUACUAACUAAACUACAUACAUAUUCCUAGCUUCAGAAAGAAAGGAUGACUGGAUCCGUCAACCCAGGCUGCUCUGAACCACCAUACAUUAUGAUGUGCUGUUUGGACAUGUGAAUUCAAUUGGUAGCAUUGAUAGAUAAGCUAAGCCAGCCGUGAGUGCUGUGACUAGAGAGUUUCUGACUUUUUAGGUCCCUGCUAGCUCUACUCUACUCUCUCGUUUGGUCAUAUACUUUUAGGUUACAACUCACUAACAAAAAAACAUCACAAAACAAUCAACUGGUACAUAUCAAACACAUAAAUUAUUUUAUUCACCGCCUGCAAGCCAACCAUCUAUAUUCUAAACUGAACCUUUUAUUAGUUGCUUGGUACCAAUUUAUCUCUAUUCUUUUUAGUUUCUUAUAUGGUUUCUGCACAUGCCUUAUGGUGAGCGGGACAAAAUAUGUGCCCACAUACGAGGACAAGGACGGUGACUGUAUACUCAUUAGAGACGUCCUCUGGAGGUCAAGUGCAACUCGUGUUGUUCUUCAGCUAUGCCCUAUUGUUUAAGUUUAUAUAUACGCUGCUUACUAUUCUCUUUGGUCAGAUAGUCAAAGAUAUGUGGCAAAACUUUUGCCUUCGAAAUUUUUGUUAUUCUGAAUGAUGC
This is a long non-coding RNA of Triticum aestivum (bread wheat), 2083 nucleotides long. RefSeq lists it as uncharacterized. The transcript is spliced from 7 exons. NCBI's taxonomy places the organism in Eukaryota, Viridiplantae, Streptophyta, Magnoliopsida, Poales, Poaceae. The record is from RefSeq and is a predicted model, not a curated record.